GGGGGAAUGGCUCAAGUGGUAGAGCAUUUACCUAGCAAGCAUGAGGCCCUGAGUUCAAUCCCCCUUCCCCCA
Molecule: transfer RNA, 72 nt
Filed under: Dipodomys ordii (Ord's kangaroo rat)
Lineage: Eukaryota; Metazoa; Chordata; Mammalia; Rodentia; Heteromyidae
Rfam family: tRNA
About the family: Transfer RNA (tRNA) molecules are approximately 80 nucleotides in length. Their secondary structure includes four short double-helical elements and three loops (D, anti-codon, and T loops). Further hydrogen bonds mediate the characteristic L-shaped molecular structure. tRNAs have two regions of fundamental functional importance: the anti-codon, which is responsible for specific mRNA codon recognition, and the 3' end, to which the tRNAs corresponding amino acid is attached (by aminoacyl-tRNA synthetases). tRNAs cope with the degeneracy of the genetic code in two manners: having more than one tRNA (with a specific anti-codon) for a particular amino acid; and 'wobble' base-pairing, i.e. permitting non-standard base-pairing at the 3rd anti-codon position.
Source: Rfam by way of RNAcentral